CUAGACUGCACUGAUGCGUGUUUGUAUGUUUAAAUUUCUGAUAAAUCCCCGUAUAUUUAACUUUGUCUGUUAUCGCACCGCUGAAUAUAUCAUCGCUAUGCGGAUAUUAUAAAAGGAGAAUCUUUUCUACAGGUCGCUAUUUUUGAAUACAACUUUGUGUCAUCUGCAAAUAAUUUUAACGUGCAAUUCAGGAUUUCCGGUCUUGUCUACAGCAUGGCGUCUGGGGACACUGCUUUUGGAACACAUAGCGAUAUCCCAGGACUGGAAGCAGAUUUUGAAAAGGGAGAAGAACACG
Long non-coding RNA from Mercenaria mercenaria, 295 nucleotides. RefSeq lists it as uncharacterized. The record is from RefSeq and is a predicted model, not a curated record. NCBI's taxonomy places the organism in Eukaryota, Metazoa, Mollusca, Bivalvia, Venerida, Veneridae. The transcript is spliced from 3 exons.